This 266-nucleotide unclassified non-coding RNA is filed under the name Thelephoraceae sp. RNAcentral's name for it is "partial contains small subunit ribosomal RNA, internal transcribed spacer 1, and 5.8S ribosomal RNA". The stretch from base 1 to 46 matches the Rfam family "Eukaryotic small subunit ribosomal RNA", at positions 1786 to 1831 of the family's 1831-position model. The record is from RNAcentral. Lineage: Eukaryota; Fungi; Basidiomycota; Agaricomycetes; Thelephorales; Thelephoraceae.
AAGUCGUAACAAGGUUUCCGUAGGUGAACCUGCGGAAGGAUCAUUAUCGAAUUUUGAAAGGGGUUGCUGCUGGUCUUUCGGGACAUGUGCACACUUCUCAUCCAUUCUUACACCUGUGCACCCUCUGUAGUUCUAUGGUCUGGGGGACCCUGUCUUCCUUCUGUGGUUCUACGUCUUUACACACACACUGUAAUAAAGUUUUAUGGAAUGUACAUCGCGUCUAACGCAAUACAAUACAACUUUCAGCAACGGAUCUCUUGGCUCUC